RNAcentral lists this ribosomal RNA (407 nucleotides) under uncultured bacterium. Its description in RNAcentral is "partial 16S ribosomal RNA". It matches the Rfam family "Bacterial small subunit ribosomal RNA", at positions 30 to 526 of the family's 1533-position model. The record is from RNAcentral.
AUUGAACGCUGGCGGCAGGCCUAACACAUGCAAGUCGAGCGGAGCGGCGGACGGGUGAGUAAUGCCUAGGAAUCUGCCUGGUAGUGGGGGCUAACGUCCGGACACGGGCGCUAAUACCGCAUCCUAUCAGAUGAGCCUAGGUCGGAUUAGCUAGGUUGUGGGGUAAAGGUCUACAACGGCGACGAUCCGUAACUGGUUUGCGAGGAUGAUCAGUCAAACUGGAACUGAGACACGGUCCAGACGCCGACGGGAGGCAGCAGUGGGGAAUAUGGGACAAUGGGCGAAAGCCUGAUCCAGCCAUGCCGAGUGUGUGAGGAAGGUCUUCGGAUUGUAAAGCACUUUAAGUUGGGAAGCGUUACCAACAGAAUAAGCACCGGCUAACUUCGUGCCAGCAGCCGCGGUAAUUC